This 419-nucleotide ribosomal RNA is filed under the name bacterium enrichment culture clone ALO1_GLFRUDD03GS8YZ. Its description in RNAcentral is "bacterial SSU rRNA". It matches the Rfam family "Bacterial small subunit ribosomal RNA", at positions 9 to 430 of the family's 1533-position model. The record is from RNAcentral.
GAGUUUGAUCAUGGCUCAGAUUGAACGCUGGCGGCAUGCCUUACACAUGCAAGUCGAACGGCAGCACGGGAGCUUGCUCCUGGUGGCGAGUGGCGAACGGGUGAGUAAUGCAUCGGAACGUAUCCUGGAGUGGGGGAUAACGUAGCGAAAGUUACGCUAAUACCGCAUAUUCUGUGAGCAGGAAAGCGGGGGACCUUCGGGCCUCGCGCUCUUGGAGCGGCCGAUGUCGGAUUAGCUAGUUGGUGAGGUAAAGGCUCACCAAGGCGACGAUCCGUAGCAGGUCUGAGAGGAUGAUCUGCCACACUGGAACUGAGACACGGUCCAGACUCCUACGGGAGGCAGCAGUGGGGAAUUUUGGGCAAUGGGGGCAACCCUGAUCCAGCCAUGCCGCGUGGGUGAAGAAGGCCUCGGUUGUUAAG